UAGAGAUCUGGAGGAAUACCGGUGGCGAAGGCGGCCCCCUGGACAAAGACUGACGCUCAGGUGCGAAAGCGUGGGGAGCAAACAGGAUUAGAUACCCUGGUAGUCCACGCCGUAAACGAUGUCUACUUGGAGGUUGUGCCCUUGAGGCGUGGCUUCCGGAGCUAACGCGUUAAGUAGACCGCCUGGGGAGUACGGCCGCAAGGUUAAAACUCAAAUGAAUUGACGGGGGCCCGCACAAGCGGUGGAGCAUGUGGUUUAAUUCGAUGCAACGCGAAGAACCUUACCUGGUCUUGACAUCCACAGAAGACUGCAGAGAUGCGGUUGUGCCUUCGGGAACUGUGAGACAGGUGCUGCAUGGCUGUCGUCAGCUCGUGUUGUGAAAUGUUGGGUUAAGUCCCGCAACGAGCGCAACCC
RNAcentral lists this ribosomal RNA (414 nucleotides) under Salmonella enterica. Its description in RNAcentral is "bacterial SSU rRNA". It matches the Rfam family "Bacterial small subunit ribosomal RNA", at positions 691 to 1104 of the family's 1533-position model. Lineage: Bacteria; Pseudomonadati; Pseudomonadota; Gammaproteobacteria; Enterobacterales; Enterobacteriaceae. The record is from RNAcentral.